This is an RNA transcript of Beta vulgaris subsp. vulgaris (sugar beet), 1067 nucleotides long. It is a transcript of the gene named superoxide dismutase [Cu-Zn] 2, with no coding region annotated. The transcript is spliced from 8 exons. The record is from RefSeq and is a predicted model, not a curated record. NCBI's taxonomy places the organism in Eukaryota, Viridiplantae, Streptophyta, Magnoliopsida, Caryophyllales, Amaranthaceae.
CUAGUCUUUAUCCAUUUCUGGUGGUGAGUAAAAUUAUACUAAACCAAGCUGCUAACUUCACUAAAGAGAAGUUCCAAGUUGUUUCCAUGGGAACAACAGUUAAGGCAGUGGCUGUCAUCGCCGGUUCCAAUAACGUCAAAGGCUCUCUCCACUUCAUCCAACAUUCCACUGGGAUAACACAUGUCAAAGGAAAAAUAACAGGACUUACACCAGGUCUCCAUGGCUUUCAUAUCCAUGCCCUUGGAGAUACCACUAAUGGUUGCAACUCCACUGAGCCUCAUUUUAAUCCGAUGAAGAAGGACCAUGGAGCUCCAUCCGACACGGAACGCCAUGUGGGUGACCUGGGAAACAUUGUUGCUGGCAGUGAUGGGGUUGCUGAGGUCUCCAUUAGUGAUUCCCAGAUAUCACUUAGUGGGCAGCACUCAAUCCUUGGGAGGGCUGUUGUGGUGCAUGCUGAUCCUGAUGAUCUUGGAAGAGGUGGACAUGAACUUAGCAAAGCAACUGGGAAUGCUGGUGCUAGAGUAGGAUGCGGUGUAAUCGGGCUGCAAUCAUCCGUUUAGAUCCUUCCCUUUAUUUAGUAAUAGACUAAUUUCUGUUUGUGUUCUUUUAUGAGAAAAUAUAAUCACCAAAUUUAGUUCAUAUAAUUUCACAAACUUUGUCUCAGUAAAUCUCUGGUAGGUAGUGUCGAUUGCCGAGAAUAAGGCAGAGGAAAAUGAAGGGACCAUAGCAGCCAUAUGAGGAAGCAUAUUCUUCAAGUCCACUUGGAGUCCAAAAAUAAAGUAAGAGAUAACUGAGAAGCACAUGAAGAAGACAGAAACAAAGAAGAUGGAAGAUGAAGAAAAGUUAGAGAUAAGAGGGAGGGGGUAGGCAGUUAGGCACCAGGCAGGGUAUCACCAUGGAUAAAGGUUAGAACAAUACUUCUGUGAAAGAAGAAAAAUAGAGAGUUGGUGUGUGACUAACUGAGUCACCUGCAUGAAGACAGUAAAACUGACCAGAAAUUUGAGGUCAAAUCCUAACAAACUUGACUUUUAGUCGGAAAAAAGACAUUAAAGUGUGUUCUUUUUGAC